AGAACGAACGCUGGCGGCAGGCUUAACACAUGCAAGUCGAACGCCCCGCAAGGGGAGUGGCAGACGGGUGAGUAACACGUGGGAACAUACCCUUCGGUUCGGAACAACGUUUGGAAACGAACGCUAAUACCGGAUACGGCCUCUGGGCGAAAGAUUCAUCGCCGAAGGAUUGGCCCGCGUUCGAUUAGCUUGAUGGUGAGGUAACGGCUCACCAUGGCGACGAUCGAUAGCUGGUCUGAGAGGAUGGCCAGCCACAUUGGGACUGAGACACGGCCCAAAACUCCUACGGGAGGCAGCAGUGGGGAAUUUUGCGCAAUGGGGGAAACCCUGACGCAGCAACGCCGCGUGGAGGAUGAAGUCUCUUGGGACGUAAACUCCUUUCGACAGGGACGAUAAUGACGUACCUGUAGAAGAAGCCCCGGCUAACUUCGCGCCAGCAGCCGC
This 444-nucleotide ribosomal RNA is filed under the name uncultured bacterium. Its description in RNAcentral is "SSU rRNA". It matches the Rfam family "Bacterial small subunit ribosomal RNA", at positions 26 to 518 of the family's 1533-position model. The record is from RNAcentral.